RNAcentral lists this ribosomal RNA (466 nucleotides) under uncultured bacterium. RNAcentral describes it as "partial 16S ribosomal RNA". It matches the Rfam family "Bacterial small subunit ribosomal RNA", at positions 28 to 507 of the family's 1533-position model. The record is from RNAcentral.
GAUGAACGCUGGCGGCGUGCUUAACACAUGCAAGUCGAACGGAAAGGCCCAAACUUUCUUGGGUACUCGAUUGGCGAACGGGUGAGUAACACGUGGGUGAUCUGCCCUGCACUUCGGGAGAAGCCUGGGAAACUGGGUCUAAUACCGGGGAGGAUCACAUUUUGGGUGUGGUUGUGGAGAGUUUUUCGGUGUGGGUGUAGCUCGUGGCCUAUCAGCCUGCUGGUGGGGUAAUGGCUUACCAAGGCGUCGACGGGUAGCCGGCCGGAGAGGGUGUACGGCCACAUUGGGACUGAGAUACGGCCCAGAGUCCUACGGGAGGCAGAAGUGGGGAAUAUUGCACAAUGGGCGCAAGGCUGAUGCAGAGAGGCCGCGUGGGGGAUGACGGCCUUCGGGUUGUAAACUCAUUGCGCUAGGGACGAAGCGUUAUGUGACGGUACCUGGAGAAGAAGCACCGGCUAACUACGUG